This 408-nucleotide ribosomal RNA is filed under the name uncultured bacterium. RNAcentral describes it as "bacterial SSU rRNA". It matches the Rfam family "Bacterial small subunit ribosomal RNA", at positions 355 to 775 of the family's 1533-position model. The record is from RNAcentral.
UGGGGAAUAUUGCGCAAUGGGCGAAAGCCUGACGCAGCGACGCCGCGUGGGGGAUGACGGCCUUCGGGUUGUAAACCUCUUUCAGUAGGGACGAAGCGCAAGUGACGGUACCUACAGAAGAAGCACCGGCCAACUACGUGCCAGCAGCCGCGGUAAUACGUAGGGUGCAAGCGUUGUCCGGAAUUAUUGGGCGUAAAGAGCUCGUAGGCGGUCUGUCACGUCGGCUGUGAAAACCCGAGGCUCAACCUCGGGCCUGCAGUCGAUACGGGCAAACUAGAGUACUGCAGGGGAGACUGGAAUUCCUGGUGUAGCGGUGAAAUGCGCAGAUAUCAGGAGGAACACCGGUGGCGAAGGCGGGUCUCUGGGCAGUAACUGACGCUGAGGAGCGAAAGCGUGGGGAGCGAACAG